Non-coding RNA from Theobroma cacao (cacao), 872 nucleotides. The record is from RefSeq and is a predicted model, not a curated record. Lineage: Eukaryota; Viridiplantae; Streptophyta; Magnoliopsida; Malvales; Malvaceae.
UUUGGUGCAUCAGAGAGGUUAAAAUAGCUGAAUUUGGCUCUAUAGAUUAUGAGCCACCGCUUGCAUUCUUUAUAAGAAAAUCUUUUCUGGUCACUACCAAGAAGAGUGCAGGUGGGGGAAAGAAUCUUAACAACCCAUCAAAAGGUAAAAAAAAAAAUUCAGUAAACAAAAUCAUUUAUAGGGGAGAACGGACAUAUAAUUUUACUCGCUAGGGUAUUCGAUGCAAUCGAUAAUUCUAUGGUCGAAGUAACAGCCAGGUUGGAGACAGGACAACAUGGAACAACCUGAUAACGAAACAAAGCAUGAAAGUCAGCUUGUGUUAGGUGACGUUGAUGGUUUGCGGGAGCCCAACGCAACUUAUCUUUCUGAUUUGAAUCUCCUGAUGGUGGCUCUUUCACUGAGCUCUAUACGCAACGAAGAUUGCUUAAAUUUGGUUGACACAGAGAAGACAAGUAUUGAAGAUCGGGAAGCUAAUAAGGGCAAGGCCUACAUACCCAGGUUACAUUCCAGAAAACGGGAAACCAACGACGUAAAGCUCAUGAGACGACAAACACAAAGGAUCCAAACAUCACCCAAGGAUUUUAGGCACUGCAGAAAAAUGUAGACAGGAAUGUUAUAAAUAGGAAGAGAACAGAACAAGAAAAAGAUACGAUGAAGGAGAGAGCAUGUAAAAUAUUCUUUUGAUACAGGUUUUUUAUUAUUUUAUUUUUGGUACUGUAGCAUGUGAAAUAUCCUCUAGGAGCUUUUUCGUUGGCAUUGUCGCUGUCGUCGAACAGAAUCCAUUAAACCCACUGUUAAGGGACAAAAUAGAAACGGCAGACAUCAGAGACGUUAUUCCAGAUGGAAUUUGGUGACUGUUUUCUUUCACUUUC